RNAcentral lists this ribosomal RNA (39 nucleotides) under Streptomyces sp. 2224.1. Its description in RNAcentral is "partial 23S rRNA. Bacterial LSU". Lineage: Bacteria; Bacillati; Actinomycetota; Actinomycetes; Kitasatosporales; Streptomycetaceae. The record is from RNAcentral.
UGUGGCCAAGUUUUUAAGGGCGCACGGUGGAUGCCUUGG